UGAGCCAGACAACGCCUUUAUCCUCCGCAGCUGCAGCCCCGGGCACGGAGUCUCAGCGCGCGCCGAGCCCUGGAAAAUCCCAGCUCCUUUGCUCUCCAUGCUCCAGACAGUAUGCUCUAAGGUGGAAGACAGAUGUGUCAGUGAAAAACUAGCAUGAUGAAUGCUACACAGAACAAAGCAUCCCAGGAGCAGUCUCUCCUGGGAACAGAGAAGGCUCCGUGGAGAAACAGGAAGUCCUCCGUGGAGGAACAGGAAGUCCUCCAUGGAGGAACAGGAAGUCAGACCUGUGAAGAAAGGUGAGGUGACUGGACACAAGACAUUCUUCGUGAGAAGAGCAGGUUGGCAGUGGACAAAAGAAGAUUCUUCAUAUGAGAGAAAACAUGCGAUAUUUGAC
This is a long non-coding RNA of Chinchilla lanigera (long-tailed chinchilla), 394 nucleotides long. RefSeq lists it as uncharacterized. The transcript is spliced from 3 exons. The record is from RefSeq and is a predicted model, not a curated record. NCBI's taxonomy places the organism in Eukaryota, Metazoa, Chordata, Mammalia, Rodentia, Chinchillidae.